RNAcentral lists this transfer RNA (77 nucleotides) under archaeon ADurb.Bin336. Its description in RNAcentral is "tRNA-Arg". It matches the Rfam family "tRNA". Rfam says of the family: Transfer RNA (tRNA) molecules are approximately 80 nucleotides in length. Their secondary structure includes four short double-helical elements and three loops (D, anti-codon, and T loops). The record is from RNAcentral.
GCGCCCGUAACUCAGCUGGAUAGAGUGGCAGACUUCGAAUCUGCAAGUCGUAGGUUCGACUCCUACCGGGCGUACCA